This 130-nucleotide ribosomal RNA is filed under the name Dehalobacter sp. MCB1. Its description in RNAcentral is "partial 23S ribosomal RNA". It matches the Rfam family "Bacterial large subunit ribosomal RNA", at positions 2801 to 2925 of the family's 2925-position model. The record is from RNAcentral. Lineage: Bacteria; Bacillati; Bacillota; Clostridia; Eubacteriales; Desulfitobacteriaceae.
AAGAUGAGAUUUCCCACAGAGUAAUCUGGUAAGACCCCUGAAAGAUGAUCAGGUUGAUAGGCCGGGAGUGGAAGCAUGGCGACAUGUGGAGCGGACCGGUACUAAUAGGUCGAGGUCUUGACCUUUGAUU